RNAcentral lists this transfer RNA (73 nucleotides) under Candidatus Melainabacteria bacterium. Its description in RNAcentral is "tRNA-Arg". It matches the Rfam family "tRNA". From Rfam's summary of the family: Transfer RNA (tRNA) molecules are approximately 80 nucleotides in length. Their secondary structure includes four short double-helical elements and three loops (D, anti-codon, and T loops). RNAcentral also lists the same sequence under 5 other names. The record is from RNAcentral. Lineage: Bacteria; Bacillati; Candidatus Melainabacteria.
GCGCCCGUAGCUCAGUGGAUAGAGCAUCCGCCUUCUAAGCGGACGGCCGUUGGUUCGAAUCCAACCGGGCGCG